Molecule: ribosomal RNA, 201 nt
Filed under: uncultured bacterium
Lineage: Bacteria
Description: partial 16S ribosomal RNA
Rfam family: Bacterial small subunit ribosomal RNA
Source: RNAcentral
GACGAACGCUGGCGGCGUGCUUAAUACAUGCAAGUCGAGCGAGGCCCAUCCAGUGGCAACACUGGGGAAGGCCGAGCGGCGAACGGGCGAGUAACACGUGAGCAACCUGCCCCGAAGUCUGGAAUAACAUCGGGAAACCGGUGCUAAUACCGGAUUGCCCCACCUGACCGCAUGAUCGGGUGAGGAAAGAUUUAUCGCGUU